RNAcentral lists this ribosomal RNA (830 nucleotides) under Streptomyces sp. MOLA 1600. RNAcentral's name for it is "bacterial SSU rRNA". It matches the Rfam family "Bacterial small subunit ribosomal RNA", at positions 18 to 863 of the family's 1533-position model. RNAcentral also lists the same sequence under 1 other name. Lineage: Bacteria; Bacillati; Actinomycetota; Actinomycetes; Kitasatosporales; Streptomycetaceae. The record is from RNAcentral.
CAUGGCUCAGGACGAACGCUGGCGGCGUGCUUAACACAUGCAAGUCGAACGAUGAAGCCCUUCGGGGUGGAUUAGUGGCGAACGGGUGAGUAACACGUGGGCAAUCUGCCCUUCACUCUGGGACAAGCCCUGGAAACGGGGUCUAAUACCGGAUAACACUCUGUCCCUCAUGGGGCGGGGUUAAAAGCUCCGGCGGUGAAGGAUGAGCCCGCGGCCUAUCAGCUUGUUGGUGGGGUAAUGGCCUACCAAGGCGACGACGGGUAGCCGGCCUGAGAGGGCGACCGGCCACACUGGGACUGAGACACGGCCCAGACUCCUACGGGAGGCAGCAGUGGGGAAUAUUGCACAAUGGGCGAAAGCCUGAUGCAGCGACGCCGCGUGAGGGAUGACGGCCUUCGGGUUGUAAACCUCUUUCAGCAGGGAAGAAGCGAAAGUGACGGUACCUGCAGAAGAAGCGCCGGCUAACUACGUGCCAGCAGCCGCGGUAAUACGUAGGGCGCAAGCGUUGUCCGGAAUUAUUGGGCGUAAAGAGCUCGUAGGCGGCUUGUCACGUCGGAUGUGAAAGCUCGGGGCUUAACCCCGAGUCUGCAUUCGAUACGGGCUAGCUAGAGUGUGGUAGGGGAGAUCGGAAUUCCUGGUGUAGCGGUGAAAUGCGCAGAUAUCAGGAGGAACACCGGUGGCGAAGGCGGAUCUCUGGGCCAUUACUGACGCUGAGGAGCGAAAGCGUGGGGAGCGAACAGGAUUAGAUACCCUGGUAGUCCACGCCGUAAACGUUGGGAACUAGGUGUUGGCGACAUUCCACGUCGUCGGUGCCGCAGCUAACGCAUUAA